CGAUUCUUAUCCAAGCUUGCAUGCCAAAUCUAUUUGCUCUCAGUUAUGGAUAUCAAAACAGUCCUCGUCAUUGUCGUUGUGUUGCUGGAGCAUAAAGAUCUAAGAUGCUGUGGCCAAGAUGGUUCUCAUCAGCAUGUUGCUCCUACUACCCAUGACUGUGGUCACCACGGCCAUUGGAAUGAUAGACAUAAUUAUUGUGAAUGCUCCUCGGGAUACAGCGGUAGUAAAUGUG
Mya arenaria is the source of this 232-nucleotide long non-coding RNA. RefSeq lists it as uncharacterized. The record is from RefSeq and is a predicted model, not a curated record. The transcript has 5 exons. NCBI's taxonomy places the organism in Eukaryota, Metazoa, Mollusca, Bivalvia, Myida, Myidae.